GGCGAUUUUACAAAAUUCAGCUCGUCUUUGACACAUUCCACAAGCAAAUAUAAGUAACUACAGCUAAGAGUACUUGACAAAACUGCAUUUUGUCACUGAAAUCAGAAACACAAACAUCUUCUGGUGUACAUUACAAGCAAAAGUUCAAGCUUUAUCGCGUUUUAACAUGAACAAUAACGCGUUUACUGCAGAAAAUCUCGAGGAUCAGUAACAUGGCCAGUUAAUGCAGAUGCUGCAGCUGUAUAUGGAGAUGCAAGAUAAAUUUGACCUUCCUUGUGGCCCAUUCGCCCCGGGAAGUUCCUGUUUGUGGUUGAGACACAUACCUGAGGUUCGUUCAACCGAGCAUGAGUAUCUCUAGGACCACCCAUACAAGCACCACAACUAGGACUUGCUGGUGUAUCGCAGCCAGCAUCCUCGAAAAUCUGUGAACAUGUUUUGCCACCAGAUUCUGGAACUGGGAUAGUAUAUAAAUCCAUCCAGACCUUCUGCGUAGCAGGGACGAGAAAUGUUGGAACUUUGACCUUCUUUCCUGAUGCUAGAAAAACUUUGGCAGCAGCC
RNAcentral lists this unclassified non-coding RNA (558 nucleotides) under Hevea brasiliensis (rubber tree). Lineage: Eukaryota; Viridiplantae; Streptophyta; Magnoliopsida; Malpighiales; Euphorbiaceae. The record is from RNAcentral.